GUAACCUGCCUUAUACAGGGGGAUAACAGCUGGAAACGGCUGCUAAUACCGCAUAAGCGCACAGUGCUGCAUGGCACAGUGUGAAAAGAUUUAUCGGUAUAAGAUGGACCCGCGUCUGAUUAGCUAGUUGGUGAGGUAAUGGCUCACCAAGGCGACGAUCAGUAGCCGGCUUGAGAGAGUGAACGGCCACAUUGGGACUGAGACACGGCCCAAACUCCUACGGGAGGCAGCAGUGGGGAAUAUUGCACAAUGGGGGAAACCCUGAUGCAGCGACGCCGCGUGAGUGAAGAAGUAUUUCGGUAUGUAAAGCUCUAUCAGCAGGGACGAUAAUGACGGUACCUGACUAAGAAGCCCCGGCUAACUACGUGCCAGCAGCCGCGGUAAUACGUAGGGGGCAAGCGUUAUCCGGAUUUACUGGGUGUAAAGGGAGCGUAGGUGGCCAAAUAAGUCAGAUGUGAAAGCCCAGGGCUCAACCCUGGGAUUGCA
Molecule: ribosomal RNA, 486 nt
Filed under: uncultured bacterium
Lineage: Bacteria
Description: bacterial SSU rRNA
Rfam family: Bacterial small subunit ribosomal RNA
Source: RNAcentral